This 301-nucleotide ribosomal RNA is filed under the name uncultured bacterium. RNAcentral describes it as "partial 16S ribosomal RNA". It matches the Rfam family "Bacterial small subunit ribosomal RNA", at positions 509 to 807 of the family's 1533-position model. The record is from RNAcentral.
CAGUAGCCGCGGGAAUACAGAGGGUGCAAGCGUUAAUCGGAAUUACUGGGCGUAAAGGGCGCGUAGGUGGUUGCGUAAGUGAGAUGUGAAAUCCCCGGGCUUAACCUGGAACGUGCAUCUUAUACUGCGUAACUGGAGUGCAAGAGAGGGUAGUGGAAUUCCCGGUGUAGCGGUGAAAUGCGUAGAGAUCGGGAGGAACAUCAGUGGCGAAGGCGGCCAUCUGGGACAACACUGACGCUGAGGCUCGAAGGCCAGGGUAGCGAAAGGGAUUAGAUACCCGCGUAGUCCCUGUCUCUUAUAC